RNAcentral lists this unclassified non-coding RNA (567 nucleotides) under Hevea brasiliensis (rubber tree). Lineage: Eukaryota; Viridiplantae; Streptophyta; Magnoliopsida; Malpighiales; Euphorbiaceae. The record is from RNAcentral.
AGCGUUUUCGAAUUUUGUUAAAAAGGCCUCACGAUUCUAUUUCUUCAAUUCUUCCCAUAAUUUACUUUAACAAGUGAACGGAAGACGUUCUGAACGCCGUCGUUUGCUUAGCCUGAGAAUCUUCUUGGAUAGCUGCUCAACUCAAGUUGAGCUAUUCACAAAUGGCGGAGAAGCCCCAACCAGUUCAGGUACUAUACUGUGGAGUCUGCGGGUCACCAGCAGAAUAUUGUGAAUUCGGACCCGACUUUGAGAAAUGCAAACCCUGGCUGAUUCAAAAUGCACCCGAUCUCUACCCGGAAUUCCUCAAAGAAUCAAAUGGAACAGAAACAGAUAAAGUCUCUGAUAAGCUUCAGUCAACUUCAAUCUCUGAAGGUUCUUCAACAUCUAAACCAGAAGAAGUCAAACGUCUUCCAGGUGGAAAGAUAAAAAAGAAAGACAAGCAAGAAAUUAUUAUUGAAAAGGUGACACGGAAUAAGAGGAAAAGUAUCACAACUAUCAAAGGCCUCGAACUCUUUGGUGUUAAACUAAGUGAUGCUUCCAAAAAGCUUGGUAAAAAGUUUGCUACUG